This 402-nucleotide ribosomal RNA is filed under the name uncultured bacterium. RNAcentral describes it as "bacterial SSU rRNA". It matches the Rfam family "Bacterial small subunit ribosomal RNA", at positions 356 to 774 of the family's 1533-position model. The record is from RNAcentral.
AGGGAAUAUUGCAAAAUGGGCGAAAGCCCGAUGCAGCAACGCCGCGUGGGCGAUGAAGGCCUUCGGGUCGUAGAGCCCUUUUUGAGGGGAUGAGGAAGGACAGUACCCUCAGAAUAAGCCUCGGCUAACUACGUGCCAGCAGCCGCGGUAAAACGUAGGAGGCGAGCGUUAUCCGGAUUUACUGGGCGUAAAGCGCGUGCAGGCGGAUUGGAGAGUUGGAUGUGAAAGCUCCCGGCUUAACUGGGAGAGGUCGUUCAAUACUUCCAGUCUUGAGUGCAGUAGAGGGAAGUGGAAUUCCGGGUGUAGUGGUGAAAUGCGUAGAUAUCCGGAGGAACACCAGUGGCGAAAGCGGCUUCCUGAACUGUAACUGACGCUCAGACGCGAAAGCUAGGGUAGCAAACG